AGUGUUUCACAGCAUGCAAAGGAGGGCUAGAGAUGGGGAAGGAUCUGGAGGGCAGGAGGUGUGAGGAGCGGCUGAGGUCCCUGGGUCUGUCUGGCUCAGAGCAGAGCAGGCUGAGGGGAGGCCUUGUGGUGGCUGCAGCUCCUCACAGGGAGCGGAGGGACAGCGCUGAGCUCUGCUCUGUGUGACAGCAGCAGGGCCUGAGGGAACGGCAUGGAGCUGUGCCAGGGGAGGCGCAGCUGGGGGUGAGGGAGAGGGUCUGCACCAGAGGGAGGUGGGCAUGGAACGGGCUGUGCAGGGCGGUGGGCACGGCCUUGAGGGCCAGAGCUCAGGGACUGUUUGAGCACUGCUCUCAGACAUAGGGUUUGGGUGGUGAUGUAUGGAGCCCGGAGUUGGAUUCAAUAAUUCCUGUAGGUCCAUGCCAUCUUGGGUUAUCCUGUGAUUAUGUGAUGUGAUUCUACAUCCCCUGACAGAGAGUUCCUCCCCAGCAUUCCUAUAGCCCCUUUAGUUACUGGAAGGCCACUCGAAGGUCUCUUUCAUGCCUUCUCUUCAGGCUGAAUACCCCAGCUCUCAGCCUGUCUCCUUAGCAGAGGUGCUCCAGCCCUCUGAAUGUCCUUGUGGCUUGCUCUGGAUCCACUCCAACAGUUCCAUGUCUUUCUGAUGUGGCUCUGGUGAUGGUACCCUACAGGCACGACAUCCCAUCUCAUUGCAUCCCACUUGCUCCAUCCCUGCUCUCCAUCUGCUGUUCCUCCCAGCCCAGCCUUGCAGCCACACUUUUCUCCAUCCUGUCCAUCAUCUGCCUUUCCUUCAGCCACGCUUUCCUGCUGCCCUCUGUCCUUCCUCGCCAGCACCUGCAGUGCCCACUGCCAUCAGAUCUGUCAGCCUGGGGCAGCUCUCUGCAGGCUGAGGAGCACGCUGGACUAACCGGCUGUUUUAAACAGAAUGAAGCAUUUUAAAACUCGCAAACAAAUCUGUAGAAGCUGCUCCCUGCUCAUAUUUGCAAGGAUUUUUCAAAGCCUUUUUUAUCCUUUGUUCCUUCUGGUGAGGAGGGAGAGAAAGGAAGCAAUUACAAAUCCUUAGCUUCUUGGAUAAAUGCCAUACCAACAGCCUCCUGUGAUUCCAUUUUUUUUUUUCUUUGUGGACCAUUUGCUGAAUGUCACAGUUUAAGGGGACCACAGGGAACAGGUGGCUGUGAGCUCUGUGGUUUGCUCUCUGUGGUGGGAGCAUAAGCAAAAGGGUACGCGUGCCUCAGGUGGAGCUUUCCUCCCAGGAGAACAGGGCUGAACAGGAAGGGAGGCACAGGGGGAUAUAUCCUCCCUUGCCAAUUGACUUGGGGGUAUUUGGGGAAAAGACUCAUUCCAUCUGCCUGGCUCCACCUCCAUCUCCAGGCAGCAGCUGAUGAGACACAGAAACUCAACAGCAGAGAGGCAGACAAGUUUAUUUCCAGUUUGAUUUCAGGGGAAAUCAGAGAGGAGAGCUUUUGUGUCUAAUGGAGAAUAAAUACAAGCCAGGCUCUUCUCUGAAUUCCUGUCAAAGACACGGGGUACACAAAGGGACUGUGGCAAAGCACCUCCUGAGGCAUUUAUAUAUCCUGAACUGCACCACUCCUCUCCUUUUUACUUGCCCAUGACGGAGCAGAUCCUUGCAUGCAGCAGCAAACGUUCCUGCUUGGACACAGUGGCUUUGAUAACAAUUGCUGGUGUCUGUCUUGCGUAAAUCUGCUGUGCUGACGUUCAGACUUUCUUACGUGGGCCUUUAAAUCCUCGGGUGGCACCCUGUCCGAAGCAGAUUGUGGAUGGGAUCCUGGAACAGAGACGCCAGUUAACAGGCGUUUGUGAGAUCUCUGCCCUCUGUUAUCAGCAGAAGUCCUGCCGUGACCAGUCAACUAGCAGCAACAGUCAUGCUUUAUAAGACAAAGCCGACUUAGCCCAGGAAUGCAAGGCAAUGGUGCUGGAGGUAAAAGAAUAAUCUUUUGGGGAACUUGAUACUAAUACAAAAUUAACUAAUCUCUCCAAGAUAUAAGCUGCAAGUGCAAAGGUCUGGCCGCACACCGAUUUGCUUGGACAAGCUCUGUGCAUUGGCCCAUUUCCCAACACACACACCCCACACAUCCCUUAGCACCCCACCACCUACAGGAGCAUUGGGAUGUUUUACACCUUGCAUGGCUUCAGGCUCCCAGAGUCUAAAUCACCAAUGCCAAUUCAAAAUACAGGUGAAAUGCUGGUCGUCUUUUCCACAUUUGAUGGGGCACAUUUAUGUGCUGGAGGCCUCUCAUCUCUCUUCACAACGGGGAAAACAUAACAUGCUGCUGGGAAGUUACAGUGUUAUUUUUACAGAAGUGUAUGAUUGCAGAGAGCAGAAUAAGAAAAGUGUGGCCUUUCAGUAACCAGGAGGGUCAUGUCAAAUUCAGGACAGCAUUUCUUAAUGGCACACGACCUGUUACUCCUGAAAAAGCAGUCAAGUUUAAAAUGUCACCUUGGCAGCUGCUUGGCAUCAUUGUAACCCCAUGGACAAACAGAGGGGCAGGUUUCUGUUGGAUGGACCACGCUGGCAUCUCAGGUGUGACAAACUCAAAGUACAAGCAUCCCUUUGCUAACUGGGAUAGUUCAAGAAAAAACAUGACGUGCUUAGAGGCCAUUAAAGUGAUCAAUAAAUGACAAUGAUUCAGGUGCUGCUUCAGAGACUUUUUGAUCACAUACUACCUUGUCCAGGUUUUAUGGUACAUGAUGAAGAGGACUUUGUAAGCGAAGCCAGCAUCAGGCAGUUUGUUUUCAACUUUUUGUGAAAAAAAAUCAGAAAGCACAGCAAUGCUGACCUGACUUUGCAGAAUGUAUGAUUCAGAAUUAAGGCGUCGACCUGCUAUGCUUGUGCCUUGUUCUGUGACCCCAUGGGAGCACAGGAAGCUGCAGUCAGUUUCCUGGGAAAGUUAGCUAGGAUGGGAAAAUGUUACAAAGCAGGAAACACAUGUGUUUGUGUUUUGGGGCUUGAACUCCAGCAGUUUAUCUUCAGACCAAUAUCACUCUGCAGUACCCUGGGAACAUACCAGGGGCUGGCAGAGCAACAGCAACAACCUGCUGACAAAGCUCUGCAGUAUACGCUCACUCUUUUUUUCUUCAUACUUUUUUCUUUUUUAAAAGGGCUUUUCAAAAAUAAAUAGAAAUAUCACCUCUUCUAUCCCCAGCACAAAACACCCAGAGUGGUAUUGCACUAUGCAAUUAAGACAAUAUGGUCCCAGCCCCAGAAACUGUUGCCUGUGCAGGCAUUUGGCUCAGACCUGGAUUUAUAGAGACGUUUCUCUGGUAGUGAAGGGCUAGCUGCAGGCUGAGGGACCUCCAUGUUCUCACUGGGCACCACUUCCAUGUGGUCUGCCUGGAGCUGCUCUGAGGUCUCCACGCUGACAUCCAUCAGCACACUCCCGUCAUGAUCUGUGGGACAGCUCACAUGCUUGGCACCACUCUUCGCUUUCUUUGGUCUAUCGAAUCGGAAGUCAGCAGGGUAUAAGUGAACAGUGACCAAGUGAUCCUUCCUGUCUUUGCUGCUCUUGAACUUCUCC
Molecule: long non-coding RNA, 3550 nt
Filed under: Gallus gallus (chicken)
Lineage: Eukaryota; Metazoa; Chordata; Aves; Galliformes; Phasianidae
Source: RNAcentral